Molecule: long non-coding RNA, 1893 nt
Organism: Rhineura floridana
Lineage: Eukaryota; Metazoa; Chordata; Lepidosauria; Squamata; Rhineuridae
Exons: 4
Source: RefSeq, a predicted model, not a curated record
AUCUCGCGAUCUUCCUGCGUUUCCUCGCGUUCCGCCGCUGCCGCUUCUUCUUCAUCGUCCACCCCAGCGCGGGAGGGCGGCGUCACCACCUCCCCGAAGAACGUGGCCAUCUCCUUUCCAACCGCAACACCCGCCACUCGGUCCGCCGGCUGCUGACAAGCGGAUGCCCUUCCGGGUUAAAGCGAGCGGGCCGGUCUGCAAGGAUUGCUCGCUUCAACAGGCGACUCGGCGAGCAUGCUCAGAGGCAGCAACUGAACGAAGCCUGAGGCGGCGAUUGUAAUGGAGCCCCUCCCUCCUUGGCCAAUAGCUACGGAGAGACAAAGUCCCGCCGCUGCCGAGUUUCCAUGCGAUCUUGAACCCCUCGUUGAAGAUCGCGUGGAAACUUUGUACUCCGACUUCCUUCAGAUGUUUCUGUCGACGCUUCCACCGGCGAUUUAUUUAUACGCGAGUAGCUCCGCGCCCGCGUGUAUGGCCUCCCGCCUGCGUCUGAAACUUCGCGAGAGAAGAAAGCUGCCUCCGUGUGGGGACGCCGUUUGCUUUGCCUUCGCAUGCUAAAGCGUGCCAUUGUGCUGGUUUAUAGUUUGCCAGGCGAUGUGUUGAGAUUGGCUCCUUAAGGCUGCAGUCGCUUGCUCGUUUAUUUGGGUGUAAGCCCCGUUAGAUUCAGUAGCAGGCCUCAGGCUGCAGUCUUAAUUCCACUUACCCGGGAGUAAGCCCCAUUGGAUUUAGAACGAUUUACCUCUGAGUAGACAUGGGGCUCGUCCAAGGUUACCUGGAUAAUCCAUGUUUUCCAUUGUCGCGUUGUCAUCUUGCCCCCCCAACUGCAGAAAAGACCACCUUAUUUCAAGCAGCUUUACAGCUUGUAGAAGGAAGGGGGGCGUCCUUCGUCGGUGGAUUGGCGGCGGGCUGUGCAUCCAGAACCUGAGGAACUGUCAGCGAAGAGGAGGUGCAAGAAGCACAACAUGAAGAGCACCCACAUGCUCAAGAGGGGGACUCUUCUUCUGGAGAAUGCCCACCAUACAGCCCAAAGGAACCAGUGUGGUAUGUUGACAGCUGUACACAAACGGAGACGGUGACAGAAUUGACACAAAUGACAGUUCUUGAGGAUGUCAUGUGCAGAACACAAGUAAAUGAGGGCAAAUGUUUCACUCGAGCACAACAGUUGGAGACCAGAGUAAAGGCCCUCGAGGAUGUCAUUACACAAAUGCAGAACAUGUGGAUUAAUGGACUCGACCAGAGGUUGAAAGUGAUAGAGGACUCAUUUUACAGAGCACAAGCUGUGGCAAGGCAGGCUCCUGUGCACCAUUAAAAACUGACAGUUCAGAACCGGCCAGAGAGACAGACUUUACCUUUUUUUGCACAUGCCCUUCCUGGAUGCUGAGCGAGCUGGUCAGUUGCCACACAUCAUUCCAGAAUGAUUUCUACACAACCCCUACUCUUCCACUGCACUUGAUCUGAGAAGUAUUAACCCUGCUCUGCAACGAGCCAUGCUUUGAAUCCUUCAAGGUUCUUUAAUACGUUUUGGUCUGCCACUCCCAGCUCUCUAUGUAUUGAACCUGAAUCUGAUUGUGCCAAUAUUGCACAUGUUUACCCUAGGCCAAGAUUUGCAGAAGACUACCUUUUGUGCCAUGUAAUUUAACUUGCUUUAAGUAAAGGGGGGAGACUCUGUGUUAAGUUUAGUUAGUAAGUUUGUGUUGCACUGGUUCUGACUAUGCCUGUGUGCAUCCAGAACCUGUGUUUUGUUUACAUUUCUGGUGUUUCUGUGUGCCCUGCCAGCUCAUGUUGUUUACCGUUCUCAUCCCAGUUACGGUGUAAAUUCAACUUUGGAACCCUCUCACGAUGGCCAUUCCUUGUUGUUUUGGUUGUGUUAGUAUGAAUAACAACAUGAGAAACUUU